GCCUUCGUAGUGUAGUGGUCAGCACGCUCUACAUGUAUUCGAGAGGUCCUUGGUUCGAAUCUCGGCGAGGGCA
Molecule: transfer RNA, 73 nt
Filed under: Stegodyphus mimosarum
Lineage: Eukaryota; Metazoa; Arthropoda; Arachnida; Araneae; Eresidae
Rfam family: tRNA
About the family: Transfer RNA (tRNA) molecules are approximately 80 nucleotides in length. Their secondary structure includes four short double-helical elements and three loops (D, anti-codon, and T loops). Further hydrogen bonds mediate the characteristic L-shaped molecular structure. tRNAs have two regions of fundamental functional importance: the anti-codon, which is responsible for specific mRNA codon recognition, and the 3' end, to which the tRNAs corresponding amino acid is attached (by aminoacyl-tRNA synthetases). tRNAs cope with the degeneracy of the genetic code in two manners: having more than one tRNA (with a specific anti-codon) for a particular amino acid; and 'wobble' base-pairing, i.e. permitting non-standard base-pairing at the 3rd anti-codon position.
Source: Rfam by way of RNAcentral